GGUGCACAUUCUGGAGGACGGCUGUGAUUUCUUUCUGGAGAAAGAAGAAAGGAAAGAAAAUCUAAGUUUAUGUUACAAAAGGGAUAGUGAGGAUUUCCUUGUUUGCUCUCCAGAGUUUUCUUAAGCCUGAUGUUUUGAAUCAAUGAGUCGAAAAGAAGCGGGAUAGCUCCAGAUCAAAAAUAAGGAACCAGAGACACAUGGAAUUGGUGAGUAGGAAGAAAAAUCGCAAAGUCUCUGCCUACCGUACUCAUAAAAAAGCAAAUUUAACAAGGACCGAAGGGCUCCAGUUCAAGCAGUGACCAACACGAGACACCCCAGCCUCGCUAACGGGAUGUGCUUCCACGCACGUGCAUUUUGGCAGCAGUCAGCAGAAGCAGCCCCAUGGCUCCCACCCCACUCUCCCAGCCCCGUCCUCUCCUUGACCGUUGCCAGUAGGAUUAUUUCUGUGGCUGCGCACCAAGCUGGCUCAGCG
Molecule: long non-coding RNA, 472 nt
Organism: Chroicocephalus ridibundus (black-headed gull)
Lineage: Eukaryota; Metazoa; Chordata; Aves; Charadriiformes; Laridae
Exons: 3
Source: RefSeq, a predicted model, not a curated record